RNAcentral lists this long non-coding RNA (253 nucleotides) under Zostera marina. RNAcentral describes it as "long non-coding RNA (ZMAR_LNC005510)". The record is from RNAcentral. Lineage: Eukaryota; Viridiplantae; Streptophyta; Magnoliopsida; Alismatales; Zosteraceae.
GGAUCAGCUAACCCCGGCCAAGGAAGCCAUUUAUGGGUUCACAAACACAAAGGCCCCAGUAAUAGGAGCCAUCGAUCUACAGAUAUCCCUUGGAAAAAGAAACGGAAGAGUAUCACGCACGGCACACUUCAUCGUGGUCAAUAUAGACUCUCCGUUCAAUGGGAUCUUGGGCAGACCAAGCAUUCGCGGUUUCAAGGCAAUACCGUUAUCUUACCACCAAUGCUUUAGGUACCCAGGAAAAGAUGGCAAAAUG